GAUGAAGAACGUAGCGAAAUGCGAUAAGUAGUGUGAAUUGCAGAAUUCAGUGAAUCAUCGAAUCUUUGAACGCACAUUGCGCCUUCUAGUAUUCUGGGAGGCAUGCCUGUUUGAGCGUCAUUAAACCUCUCUCAAGUAUGAUUACUUGGAUGUGAAGGAAGAGUACCUUAAACUUAAGGAGUGUUCUCCUUUGAAAUUGAUUAGCAGAUGGUAAUGUUAUUAAAUCCCUGAUGUUGUAAGAAAUAACAGUGGUUUUGUAGACUAUUAUCUAGCUUUAAAUUAUAAUUUUUAUUAUGGUUGACCUCAAAUCAGGUAAGGAUACCCGCUCAACUUAAGCAUAUCAAUAAGCGGAGGA
This 355-nucleotide unclassified non-coding RNA is filed under the name soil metagenome. Its description in RNAcentral is "partial contains 5.8S ribosomal RNA, internal transcribed spacer 2, and large subunit ribosomal RNA". The stretch from base 1 to 120 matches the Rfam family "5.8S ribosomal RNA", at positions 35 to 154 of the family's 154-position model. The record is from RNAcentral.